AUGAACGCUGGCGGCGUGCUUCACACAUGCAAGUCGAGCGAGAAGUUUUGAAAAGAUUCUUCGGAUGAAAUUUAAAAUGGAAAGCGGCGGACGGGUGAGUAACGCGUAGGCAACCUGCCCCAUACAAAGGGAUAGCAUUUGGAAACGAAUAUUAAUACCUUAUGAAACUUAACUAGUGCAUGCUAGGUAGGUCAAAGAUUUAUCGGUAUGGGAUGGGCCUGCGUCUGAUUAGCUAGUUGGUGAGGUAACGGCUCACCAAGGCGACGAUCAGUAGCCGACCUGAGAGGGUGGACGGCCACAUUGGAACUGAGACACGGUCCAAACUCCUACGGGAGGCAGCAGUGGGGAAUAUUGCACAAUGGGGGAAACCCUGAUGCAGCAACGCCGCGUGAACGAUGAAGGCCUUUGGGUCGUAAAGUUCUGUUCUAGGUGAUGAAAACUGACAGUAACCUAGGAGAAAGCCCCGGCUAACUCCGUG
This 478-nucleotide ribosomal RNA is filed under the name uncultured bacterium. Its description in RNAcentral is "partial 16S ribosomal RNA". It matches the Rfam family "Bacterial small subunit ribosomal RNA", at positions 29 to 507 of the family's 1533-position model. The record is from RNAcentral.